UACGUAGGGUCCAAGCGUUGUCCGGAUUUAUUGGGCGUAAAGAGCUCGUAGGCGGCUCAGUUAGUCGGAUGUGAAAACUCGGGGCUCAACCCCGAGACGCCAUUCGAUACUGCUGUGGCUUGAGUCUGGUAGGGGAACACGGAAUUCCUGGUGUAGCGGUGGAAUGCGCAGAUAUCGGGAAGAACACCCGUGGCGAAGGCGGUUCUCUGGGACGGUACUGACGCUGAGACGCGAAAGCGUGGGGAGCGAACAGG
Molecule: ribosomal RNA, 254 nt
Filed under: uncultured bacterium
Lineage: Bacteria
Description: partial 16S ribosomal RNA
Rfam family: Bacterial small subunit ribosomal RNA
Source: RNAcentral